RNAcentral lists this long non-coding RNA (10717 nucleotides) under Eucalyptus grandis. RNAcentral's name for it is "long non-coding RNA (EGRA_LNC005635)". The record is from RNAcentral. Lineage: Eukaryota; Viridiplantae; Streptophyta; Magnoliopsida; Myrtales; Myrtaceae.
UGCAUUUUCGAAGCUAGAAGUCAAGUCAGUCACCGAUCCCGCUCGAUCUACCGGGAGUAACCCCGAGCCUACGCCCCCUCGUCCCCGCCAUGGCCGAUUGGAGCCAGAUGCCGGAGGAACUCCUCCGCCUCAUCUCGCGGCGCCUCGGCACGCAGUUCGACGUCCUCCGAUUCCGAUCCGUCUGCUCUUCCUGGCGCUCCUCGGUCGCGCCGAGCCUUAAGCCCUUCCCGAACGGCCGAUUCCCGAUGAUCCCUGACGACAGCACCGGGGUAGACUUUCUCUGCAAGCGCACCAUCUACCUCCUCGGAGCGCCCCGAUCCGGCGACCGAACGGUCCCCAGCGGGUGGCUGCUCAAAGUCGCGGAGGACGUCCCCUGGGGGAUGAAUACACUGAACCCUCUCUCCAUCUGCGAAUCUGCUCCUCUGCCUGAGGAUUUUCCGAGAGUUUUGGACUUGAUGAAUCUGCGGGUGGUGGAGUUAGGGCACGAGUAUGUGUUGCGGGGUACACAUUAUCAUGGCUAUGGCGAUAAUUAUGAUAUAAUAGACACGAUUAAGGUUGCUUUUUUGUGUUUAGACAAUGAAAAUUAUUUUGUGCUGUUCAGGGAUGUCUUUCAUGGCAAAUUGGCCAUGUUUAAAUCUAGGGAAAAGCGGUGGUCCAUCGUUCAGGACAUGCCGUCGCCAUAUGACGACAUGAUAUCAUUUAAAGGGGAGUUUUAUACCGUUGACAAUGCUGGGAGGACUGUGGUCGUCGGGUUGGAUCUGAGUGUGACUUUGAUUGCACAGCCGAACUUUGAUGGUCUCCAAACGAAGUGCUUGGUGGAAUCUGUGGGCGAACUGCUGUUGGUCUAUAUGCAUUGGGAUGAGACACCGAGAUUUAAGGUCUACAAGUUGGACAGAGAAGAGAAGGUAUGGAAUGAGGUGAAAGAUUUAGGGGAUAGGGUGUUGUUUCUGGGAGAUGAAUGUACAUUUUCUGCUUCAGCUGCAGAUUUAGGGGCUUGUAAGGGGAAUUGCAUAUUUUUUAUAGAUCAAGAUGGAGACAUAGCAGCUUCGAGCCUUAAGAUUGUUGUCUAUGAUAUGGAAAGUGGCAUUUUUGGACCUAUAGAAGAUUAUGCAGGUUAUUCAGAGCUGUUCUGGCCUCCUCCAGAUUGGAUUGCUUCGAAGACUUCGGAAGUAAGUAUUUGUUUUCUGGAAUUCUUCCAAUCAUCUAUUUUGCAUCAUCGUUAGACUUUUCAGUUUGUCCGUCCUAGGAAUCUGUAUAGGAGCACACUAGAGAUUUCCUCUGUUCUGUUGCAUAUUCUAAUACUACAUUCUAUCAUCAUGUUCUGAAAGUAUGUCGAAGCUACUUCCUUGCGGGCACUGGUUAUAUUUUUGCCAAGAAGGGAAACCAUGGACUAUAGUCAUUUCUAGGAGAAAAUGUUGGGACUUAACAUUAGAUUCCUCAUGCUUUAUCAUAGUUGGUUUCAUUCCUGGUAAAAAAUAUUUCAUUGAACAUUCUCUGUCAUUUUCCCUUCUAUAAACUAUUUAAUACUCUCUUGGUGAUAGCCUUAGGUUCGAAAUCAAUUGAAAUCACUGGUAGUGUAAUGCGGUGGUUGGUCUUCUUGGAUAUGGGGCGUUGCUACAAUUGAAUCAUUCUGUGGCAUUGUACAUGAAUAACGCGGUAAGAAAGGGCAAGAGAGGUUGAUUCAGCUCACUGGAUGGACCAAGGCAACUCCUACCGAUGCUGAAGGCAAGAAGGUAAGUCUGGUCAGGCAACAAGGCAUCCUCUGAAUGACUGAUUAUGAGAUUAAUGCUCGGACUCCACCUAGAGGACCUGCAUCAUUGGUCAGGUCUUGUUGACUGUUUAUCAAGGAUUCCGCCAGACAAUCUCUGUCAAUUGAUGCAGAGGCACGUGAAGCCGUUCACUGUGCAUAGAUUUUAUUUUUUUGGGUCUCACUCCUCUUUUCUAUGUACAUGUGUCUGCGGUGCUCACGGAAUUUGAACUAUGAAAAGUAUGGUCUUCUGACCAUUUUUACCCUCUGUACUCACUUAUGGAUGCUUUUCUUAUUGUAAGUUAUGCUUCUAAAGUCUUUCCUUAGCUUGGAGGAUGUCAAUCUCUUACCAAAGAGGCAAACUUUUGCCGGCUGAGUUUUUGGCUGAAUCAUUUACACGGCUAUGACGCCUGUCGUCCAGUCCAGAAGUUUGUGAACUGGUAUCGGUUGUGUGUUGCCGCUAUUGACGACAGAGAACCUACCCAAGGCAGGGUUAAACCUUUGAGCCAACUUAGAUAUUUGAUAAACAAAAACAACAAUUUCACAACACACAAACUUCAGUCAAAAGGAUCGUGUGGAUUUCAUUAAUGGAGCUUCCAUUUUUUCUCUAGACGAAUUCUCAAACAUUCAUGUUCAUAUAUCAGAAUCUUUCAAGCUUUUACUUAACUUGAAUGCAAGGACAGAAUCCAUAUCCCAUCCAGAUUCAUAUCACUGGGGCCCCUAUCGUCACUUUCGGCACCAUAUCCCCAUCCAGAUUCAUCUCUCUCUCAAGCACAAAGAUAAAUGGGCAACCAAAGAGAAUUUCCCUCUCUCUCUCUCUCUCUCGCACAAAGAUAAAUGGAGUGAUUUUCUCAAAAACAUAAUAUUAGGAAACUCAAACAAUAUAUCUCUUCUCUACUCAUUCACUCCUGACAAAUGUACAUGAUUAGACUUCACCUAGUUCUCUCUACUUCUCCCAUACAUAUGGGCCCAACACAUCAUCAAUCUCGUUCGGGUACAUACCCAGAAGCCCGUCUUGCACUAAUGUUCCCAGCAUAUGACCAUACCUCUUCGAAUUCUGCCGCCGCAGGUUUCUCAUCAUGUUUUUUGUGAUUCUUCCCGUUUGUGGACGGGGCCGUUCUUCCCGGAUUUCGACUGAUGGAAGAGGAGCAAAAAUAUGGGGUCGCAAAAGGAGAGCCGUAGGGCGUGUGCUUGAUCGAGAGGGGACUAGAAGCCAUUUUCUCUUCCGAAUGGGAAGACAAACCAGACCUCCCCGCCUAAAGAGGGGCAAUGACUCGACUGCAGCACAACUCUUGGUGGCGUCGUCUCUACAUAUAUGACAUCGUCAAUCCUCGCUAUCACAUUAAAGGCGAGGCUCUCCGUUACACUCAAGUAGCUUUCGAGAAUCAAUUGUCCAACAUUUUGCAAGAUUACAAAGCCAGUUCAAAUGUGAAUAAGUUUCAAAAAGCUAACACUCAUCUGUACAAGCCAUCAAGUGGAUGCAUCAAGUGGCAUGCACGCAUUAACUGAACUAACCUUUGCACCUAAUGGAUGCUUUAUUUUGGGAGAUAUUGCAAUCUAAAAUGAGAAAGCGAUGAGCGAGUGUACCUUGUUAUAAUCGAUCUUCUUCAUAUCCAGUCUGAGGAAGGCUAGGGAAACAAAAGCCUUAAGGCCACGUUUGGUUGUUCGGAUUUCUAAUCGGGAUAGGACUAGAUAGGGUAGGAUAUGAAAUUCUUGGAUUUUUUUAUAUCCUAUUUAUUGUUUGGUGAAUCGCAAUAUUAAAGUUGGAUAUAUUUAUAUCAUAUCAUAUACAUUUUUUUUUUCAUAUAAACGACAUAUCAUUAUAAACGUACCUAAAUGUUCAUAAACGGAGAUGAUGAAAAUCUCUCGUAACACUAUUCCUUGAUUUAUUUUUAUUUUAUUUUUCCUCUUAUAUAUUAUUUUCUUUAUUAUUUCUUUUUUCCCCUUUCAUCAUUCUUUAAUAAAAUUUUAUCAAAUAAUAAAUUGUACUAACAUACUUAAAAUAAAAAAUACCUAAAAUAUAUAAUACAUAUAAAUAUUUAAUUUAUAGAUUGAAUGUUUAUUAUAAGAUAGAAUUAAAGUUGAAUAUAUAAAUUAAAAUAGGAUUAAUUAAAAAUGAUUUUUUUAUUUUUAAAUCUUUAAAUUAUAAUUCAAAUAUUAUUACUAUUGAAAUAUAAUUUCAAUAUUAUUAAUUUAAUAAGUUUGUUAUUCGAGAAAAAUAACUUUCAUAGUAUGGACAUUAGAAAUUCUAUUCACCUUUAUCCCACCUUUUCCAUGAGAUAAUUUUAUCAUAUCUAUAUCUCUCUUAUAUCCGACUUUAUCAUGUCCUAAACGAGCAUCAAACGUAGGAUAUAAUAAAUUAUAUCUUAUCCUGAAUUUUAUCCCGAUUGCCAAACGCAGCCUAAGCUCUGCAGCCGGGUCUCUGCUCGUUCAGCUAGAAGAUCUCUCUCUCCAUCGCUAGCCCUUUAACCUUACCAUCCCAAGAUGACUGCGUCGAUUUUGUACGAUUUACGCGUUUCUUCUGGUCUUUCGGCUUCAGGACAUGGACCGCCGCCUCAAUCCCCGUUAGCCGCCACCUCCAAGGGGUGAUUCUGAGAUGUUAAGUCAGAGACGAUCAGGCAGACAUUGUGGGGAAAACUGCUCGGCAGUAACGUAACGAUAUAUAGUAUGGCCUAGACAAUCUUUUCCACUCCGUAAGAAGAGAAAGCUUAUAGUCAAGCUUGUGCAAAGACUGGCAUAAUCAAUAACCUUAUAGACGAAUCGUCGAGUCGAUCACGGUCUACCUUCAAAGCUCCUCAUCAGAGGAUUAGGCAGCAACUGAGGCCGCAGGCGGACCCGACAAAGCAUAUGGACGACACGUCCAGCUUCAUUAUUAUCAUUGCCGGUGGAGCCAAUCUCUCGUGCUUGGAAGGAAGAAGGGGCUCAUCCCUCGAUCUUGGUCCGAUGAGCAAAUGAGAUCAUAGCUUCUCCGAUUUCGUUUCACAUGGUGACAACUGACAGCAUUUGUAAAGCUUGGAUUUAUUAUUUACGCAGGUGAUUGUGGGCUAAAUUAAGAGGAGAGCUGUCGUUUCGGGGGUUGAUUUGAAAUUCAUCUUUCGCAUCUGUUUUUAGAAAUCUUAAAUUACUUAGUACUAUGAUCUCGUCAUAAUUGUAGCCCCGGUAAGUUUUAAUUACCUCACACAUCUGUCUCAUGCGAGAUCUAGCAAUGUAAUUGCUUAUAGGCACAUGCUAUACUUGAAUCGACCUAAGGCAUGACUUGUGACAAUGAUAGGUCUAUCCCAAGCCCAAGCGAUGAGCUCGAGCUUGGUUUUUAAUUUCUUUUUUAUGUAUUCUUUAAAAUAAUAAAAAUCCCAAUAAAACUGUCCAUUGAAAUAAAUUCUUUCCUUCGUAAUGUUUAUUAUUUUUUUUAGGGAGUCCUAAGUAGGGGACAGCUGCACAAAAUUAAAAAUACAAAGGGGAACUACGUAAUUAAGGGUAUUUGAAAAGGAGAAAAAAAAACAACAUUCAGAUUUUAGCAGGAGUAUAUUUUAAGCAUAGCCAAAAAAAAAAUUAAAAAAAAAGAAGAACAAAAUCAUGAUAUGAGCAUCACCUGUACGUAGAUUACCCAAACCUACUAAGAGCGCGUUUGGUAACGAUUCUGUUCCCGGGAGUAGAUUCUGAUCAGAAUUGAUUCUUUUUUAUUCUGUUCCCGGGAACUGAUUCUAAGCAUUUUAGGCCGUUUGGUAACUGUCCAAAAUUUUUUAUUCUGGAAUAGAAUUGCGUUUGGUACCGUGUUCAUUAAUUAUGUUCCAAAUCUAUUUCUUUUAAUUUUUAAAUAAUUUUUUUACUUUUUUCCUUUUUUUUUCAUUUUCCUUUUUUUUCUUUUCUUUUUCUUUUCUUUUUCUCACCUUCUUCUUCUUCUUCUGGCCGGUCCGGCCUUGUCGGGGUUGGGCGAGGCCUGCCAGGCCACCGGCGGGGCUGGGCGAGCCUCGCCUGGCCACCGGUGGGGCUGGGCGUCGCAAGGCUUGCCCAGCCCCUGCCCAGCCCCGGCGAGGCCUCGCCCAUCCCUGGCGAGGCCUGCCUGGCCAUCGGCGAGGCUCGGCCUCGCCAGAUUUAGGGAGGCCGAGCCUCGCUGGUGGCUGGGCUUGCCUCCGGUGAGCUCGCCGGACCUCGCCCUGGUCUGGCGAGCUCGCCGGGCGGCGGCCAGCGGCGACGGCGGUCGCGAGAUGGCCGAAGGGAAGAAGAAAAUUUCUUAUUUUGAUUCUCAAAUUCGUUCCCGGAACAAGAAUCAACUUUUUUUUUGUUCUUGAUUCUAUUCCCAAUCUGUUCCCGGGAACAAAAAUUUUAUCAAAUGCGAUUCUAGGCCGAAAUUGAUUCCGGGAACAAAGAAUCAGAAUUUGGCCCUGUUUGGAUGGUUACCAAACAGGGCCUAACCAAACACUUUCCAUUCUUCUUCCGAAACCCCCGAAAAUAACUCCCGUCUCCCGCCUUCUUCUUCACCCUGUCGAGUGUCGAGGUUUCAGAGCAAGCAAGCAAUAUCUCAGUCGCCGAAUGAUGCAGCGACGAUGCGCGAAGCUCCGGCCGCUGACGCUUCAAUCGGUUCGCUGCUCUCCGGCCGCUGACGCUUCAAUGGUCCGGCUCAUUCGUUAGUAAGCUUGGAUUCAUUUACACAGGUGAUCGUGGGCUAAAUUGAGAGGAAAGCUUUCCUUCGGGGGUUGAACGAAGAAACUUUUAGAAGUACGGGGACGGGGGGCAAAGAUGUAACUAAGCCUCCAAAGCGCGCGUUCAGCCCCGCUUCGCUGCGAUUGCUUCCUUCCGAAGCAAGAAGCACGAAGUCCAGUCACCUGUAAAUUUUCCCCGCGGAUUCCCCCCUCUCACUUUCUCUCGCGUUUUCUCGCCGAUCCUGCUCGAUGUCCCGGGCGCAUCCCGCAGCUUCUAUGGUCGAUUGGAGCCAGAUGCCGGAGGACCUCCUCCGCCGCAUCGCGCGACGCCUCGGCACGCAGUUCGACGUCCUCCGAUUCCGAUCCGUCUGCUCUUCCUGGCGCUCCUCGCUCGCACCGAGCCCUAACCCCUUACGGCGCGGCCGAAUCCCGAUCAUCCCGCACGAGGGGUAUCCCGACGACUGCCCCGAGCUAUACGUUCUCCCCAAGCGCACCAUCUUCCUCGUCGGAGUGCCCCGAUCCUGCGACCAAACAGUCCGCAGCGGUUGGCUGGUCAAAGUCUGGGAGGACGACCGCGGGGUGAUGAAUCUACUGAACCCUCUCACCAGCUGCGAAUUCCGUCUGCUGCCUGAGGAUUUUCCGAGAGUUUUGGACUUGAUGAAUCUGCGCGUGCUGGAGUUAGGGCACGAGUGUGGGUUGCAGGAUUCCAAUGGUCUCAGCUAUUGCUAUUAUAAUCAUAUGUGGGGCGCGGAUAGGGUUGUUUUUUUGUGUUUAGACAAUGAAAAUGAUUUUGCGCUGCUCAGGCUUCUCCCUGGUGGCACACUGGUCAUGUUUAAAUCUAGGGAAAAACGGUGGUCACCCGUUCAGGACAUAUCGUUGGGAUAUGACGACGUGAUAUUGUUUAAGGGGGAGUUUUAUGCCGUUGACUUUGAUGGGAGCACUGUGGUUGUCGGGUUGGAUUCGAGUGUGACUUUGAUUGUGCAGUCGGACUUUGAUGGUUGGGACAAGCGCUUGGUGGAAUCUGUGGGCGAACUGCUGUUGGUCUAUAUGUAUGAGGAGGAGAAGACAACCAGAUUUAAGGUCCACAAGUUGGACAGAGAAGAGAAGGUAUGGAAUGAGGUGAAAGAUUUAGGGGAUAGGGUGUUGUUUCUGGUAGAGGAAUGUACAUUUUCUGCUUCAGCUGCAGAUUUAGGGGCUUGUAAGGGGAAUUGCAUAUUUUUUAGGGAUCAUGGUGGAGUACUCAGAGUGUCGAGCUUUGAUAUGGGUGUGGUUGGUGAGAUUGGUGUCUAUGAUAUGGAUAGUGGCAUUAUUGGAUAUAUAGAAGAUUAUGCAGGUUAUUCACAGCUGUUCUGGCCUCCUCCGGAUUGGAUUGUUUCCAGGACCGCAGAAGUAAGCAUUUGUUUUCUGGAAUUCUUUCAAUCAUCUAUUAUUAAUUAUCCAAUCUUUGCAUCAAUGUUAGACUUUUCAGUUUGUCGGUCCUACGAAUCCGUAUAGGAGCACACUAAAGAUUUCCUCUGUUCUGUCGCAUAUUCUCAUGCUACAUUCUAUCAUCAUGUUCCAAAAGUAUGUUGAAGUUACUUCCUUGCGGGCAUUGGUUUUAUAUUUGCCAGAGUGGAAACCAUGGACUAUAGUCACUGCUGGAAGAAAAUGUUGGCACUCAACAUUAGAUUCGUCAUGCUUUAUCAUAGUUGGUUUUAUUCCUGGCAAAGCAUAUCUCAUUGAACAUUCUGUCAUUUUUCCUUUCUCUGAACUAUUUAAUAUUCUCUUGGUGAUAUCCUCAGGUUCGAAAUCAAUUGGAAGCACCGACAGUGUAAUGCGGAGGUUGGUCUUCUUGGAUAAUGGGGUGUUGCUGCAAUCAAAUCGUUUGUUCACGGCAUUGUACAUGAAUAACACGGUAAGAAAGGACUAGAGAGGUUGAUUUAGUUCAUUGUAUGGACCCCGAGGCACUGAAGGAAGGCAAGAAGGUAGUCUGGUUAGGUGGCUAAUUUUUCUUUCUGUACUCACAUAUGGAUGCUUUUUGUAUUGUAAGUAAUACUUCUAAAGUCUUUCCUAAGCUUGGAGGAUGUCAGUCACUUGCCAAAGAGGCAAACCUUUGCCGCCGAGUUUUUGCCUGAUUCAUUUACAUAGCUAUGACGCCUGUUGCACAGUCCAGAAGUUUUUGAUGUGUUGCCCCUAUUGAUGACAGAGAACCUACCUAAGGCAGACUUCAAUCUUUUAGCCAACUCAGAUAUUUGACAAACAGAAACAACAAUUUCACAAAACAUAAACUUCAGUCGAAAGGAUCGUAUGGAUUUCAUUAAUGGAGCAUCCAUUUUCUCUUUAGACGAAUUCUUGAACCUUCAUGUUCAUAUAUAUUUCAGGGUUUUACUUGAAUUGAAUUGCAAGGACAGAACCCAUAUCCAUCCAGAUUCAUACCACUGGAAGAUUCAUAUCACUAGGGCCCCCAUUGUCACUUUUGGCACCUUCAUCGAAAUAUCUCUCUCUCAAGCACAAAGAUAAAUGGGCAACCAAAGGCAAUUUCACAUAUGCCUGGUUCCCUGAUCUUCAGAGGCCAAUAGGGUGCUUCUCUCAAAACACAAUACUAGGAAACUCCAAAUCAGUAUCAUCUUUUCUCUACUCAUUUACUCCUGACACAUGUACAUUCUCUCUACUUCUCCCAUACAUAUAGACCCACUCAUGAAUUCAUGCUGCUAAUAUUUCCUGCAUUUGGACCCAACUCAUCGUCAAUCUCGUUCGGGUGCAUCCCCAGAAAACCGCCUCGCAGUAAUGUUCCCAGCAUAUGACCAUAUCUCUUCGGAUUCUGGUGCUGCCGGUUUUUCAUCGUGUUUUUUGUGAUUGUUGCUGUUUGUGGACGAGGGCAUUCUUCCCGGAUUUCCACCGAAGGGAGAGGAACAGAAAGAUGGGGUCGCAAAAGGAGAGCCGUAAGGCGUGUGCUUGAUCGAGAAGGGACUAGGAGCCAUCUUAUCUUGGGAAGACAAACCAGACCUCCCCGGCUAAAGGGGCAAUGACUCGACUGCAGCACAUCUCUUGGUGGUGUCGUCUACAUAUAUGACAUCGCCAAUCCUCACUAUUACACUGAAGGCGAGGCUCGCCAUUACUCUCAAGUAGCUUUCGAGAAUCGAUUGUCCAACAUCCAGCAAGAUUACAAAGCCAUUUCAAAAUAUCAACAAGUUUCGAAUGCAUGAAUAGGCAUGCACGCAUUAACUAAACUAACCUUUCCACCUCAUGAAUGCUUUAAUCAUCAGAGAAAUUGCAAUCUGAAGAUGAGAAAGCGAUGAGCUAGUGUACCUUGUUAUCCUCAAUCUCGCUCACAUCCAAUAAUGCAGUCUGAGGAAGGCCAUGGAAACGAAAGCCUUGAGCUCUGCAGUAGGACCAGUCUCUGCACCAUCAGCAUCUAGCCCUUUAACCUUACCACACCAGGACGAUUGCCUAGAUUUCGUUCGGUUUACGCCUUUCUUCUGAUAUUUCUGCUUCUGGACAUGGACCGCCGCCCCGAUUUCGUUAGCGGCCACCUCCAAGGCAUGGUGCUUAGAUGUUAAGGCGAGACGAUCAUGAGAAUGGCUCGACAGCGACGCAAGCGGUAUGUGAUAUGGUCCAGACGAUCUCUUCCACUCUGCAGGGAGAGAGGUGCUUAUAGUCAAAGCUCGUGCAAAGACCGGCCUAACCAAAUAACCUUAUAGCCAAACCGUCGAGUUGAUCAGAGUCCACCUUUGAAGCUCCUCAUCGGAGGACUUGGCGGCAACGGAGGUCGCGGGUGCACCCGACAGAGCAAAUCGACGGACGCGUCCGACUUCAUCAUUAUCGUCGCUGGUCCAGCCGAUGGCAGCUGGUCCAGAUCCACCAUGCUCACCUCCUCCUCCGUCACACACUCUCUCUCUCUCUCUCUCUCUCUCUCUCUCUCUCUCUCUACACACAGAGGUGAUUUUGGGCUAAAUUAAGAGUAGAGCUGCCAAUUGGGGGGGCUUAUUGGAAAAACGUUCAAAAGUACAGGGACUGGGGGCAAAAAUGCAAUCGACCCCUCAAAAUCGCACGUCGAUCCACAUUUCGCUGCAAUUGCAAAUUCCGAAGCUCUGAGUCCAAUUCACCUGUGGAUUUUCUCAGCAGAUUUUCCCUCACUUUCUCUCGAAUUUUCUCGCCGAUCCGACUCGAUUUUCCCGGGAGGUGGAUCCCAAGAGCCUACCACGCCCCGUCGUCCUCGCCAUGGCCGAAUGGAGCCAGAUGCCGGAGGACCUCCUCCGCCUCAUCGCGCGGCGCCUCGGCACGCAGUUCGACGUCCUCCGGUUCCGAUCCGUCUGCUCUUCCUGGCGCUCCUCGGUCGCGCCGAGCCCUG